GGAGGGAUGUCGGAGUGGUCUAACGUGCAUGACUCGAAAUCAUGUGUGCGGUUCAAACCGCACCGAGGGUUCAAAUCCCUCUCCCUCCGCCA
RNAcentral lists this transfer RNA (92 nucleotides) under Clostridium sp. CT7. RNAcentral's name for it is "tRNA-Ser". It matches the Rfam family "tRNA". Rfam says of the family: Transfer RNA (tRNA) molecules are approximately 80 nucleotides in length. The record is from RNAcentral. Lineage: Bacteria; Bacillati; Bacillota; Clostridia; Eubacteriales; Clostridiaceae.